This 482-nucleotide ribosomal RNA is filed under the name uncultured bacterium. Its description in RNAcentral is "partial 16S ribosomal RNA". It matches the Rfam family "Bacterial small subunit ribosomal RNA", at positions 28 to 507 of the family's 1533-position model. The record is from RNAcentral.
GACGAACGCUGGCGGCGCGCUUAACACAUGCAAGUCGAGCGAUGAAAUCUUAACAGACCCCUUCGGGGUGAAGAUAAGACGGAUUAGCGGCGGACGGGUGAGUAACACGUGAGUAACCUGCCUUUUACACAGGGAUAGCCUCAGGAAACCGGGAUUAAAACCUGAUGAAACUCUCAAAUCACAUGAUUAAGAAAGUUAAAACUCCGGUGGUAAAAGAUGGACUCGCGUCCCAUUAGCUAGUUGGUGAAGGUAACGGCCCACCAAGGCAACGAUGGGUAGCCGGCCUGAGAGGGUGAACGGCCACAUUGGAACUGAGAAACGGUCCAAACUCCUACGGGAGGCAGCAGUGGGGAAUAUUGCACAAUGGGGGAAACCCUGAUGCAGCGACGCCGCGUGAGCGAAGAAGGCCUUCGGGUCGUAAAGCUCUUUUAUAUGGGAAGAUAAUGACGGUACCAUAAGAAAAAGCCCCGGCUAACUACGUG